RNAcentral lists this ribosomal RNA (468 nucleotides) under uncultured bacterium. RNAcentral's name for it is "partial 16S ribosomal RNA". It matches the Rfam family "Bacterial small subunit ribosomal RNA", at positions 28 to 507 of the family's 1533-position model. The record is from RNAcentral.
GACGAACGCUGGCGGCGUGCUUAACACAUGCAAGUCGAACGGAAAGGCCCUGCUUUUGUGGGGUGCUCGAGUGGCGAACGGGUGAGUAACACGUGAGUAACCUGCCCUUGACUUUGGGAUAACUUCAGGAAACUGGGGCUAAUACCGGAUAGGAGCUCCUGCUGCAUGGUGGGGGUUGGAAAGUUUCGGCGGUUGGGGAUGGACUCGCGGCUUAUCAGCUUGUUGGUGGGGUAGUGGCUUACCAAGGCUUUGACGGGUAGCUGGCCUGAGAGGGUGACCGGCCACAUUGGGACUGAGAUACGGCCCAGACUCCUACGGGAGGCAGCAGUGGGGAAUAUUGCACAAUGGGCGGAAGCCUGAUGCAGCAACGCCGCGUGCGGGAUGACGGCCUUCGGGUUGUAACCCGCUUUCGCCUGUGACGAAGCGUGAGUGACGGUAAUGGGUAAAGAAGCACCGGCUAACUACGUG